This is a long non-coding RNA of Salmo salar (Atlantic salmon), 1763 nucleotides long. RefSeq lists it as uncharacterized. Lineage: Eukaryota; Metazoa; Chordata; Actinopteri; Salmoniformes; Salmonidae. The record is from RefSeq and is a predicted model, not a curated record.
GGUUACCUCUGGGAAUAACAUUGAUGCCUACACUGACUGUCAUUCGUUUCAUCAGGAAGUGCAUAGAGGAUGUUGUUCCUACAGUGAUGGUUAGAACUUAUCCAAACCAAAAACUGUGGAUUAAUGGCAGCAUUCGAGCAAUACUGAAAGCGCGACCCACCGCAUUUAAUCACAGCAAGGUGUAAUGGACGUGGGAACAUGAACGAGUACAAACACACCAGCUACAACCACCGUAAGUCAAUCAAGCAAAAAUACAUUAUCGGGACAAAGUGGAGUCUCAAUUCAAUGGCCUAGACAUGAGACGCAUGUAGCAGGGACUUCAUACAAUAACGGAUUAUAAUAGAAAAACCAGCCGUCAUAUGGCAUCAUUUUCAUCUCACAAUUCAAAGAAGCAAGGAGGCAUGUCGAGAACGCGGAGAAUAACGGAGAGCGCGCAUAGAGUUGAGAGUUCAGAUAAAAAAUGGCGAAGGCGCAGAAGAUCAUGUUGAGGAGCUGUGAGAUAGUUCAGAGAAAAAUGUUGCAUGCCCAGCAAAUGGAAUUGAGCAAGAAAUUGUGUUGAGCACGCAUUUCUCUGUUCAUGGUAUACUUGCCUGCGCUCUCUCGAAAUUCACCUGUGCUUGCACGAUAUGAUCUCUGUGUGCUCGCAAAUCUACAAUAACAUGUUACUCAAAUAUGAUUGCCAGCCUUAUUGACCAAUCAUAGCAGUGAUUUUUGUUACAAUGCAAUUGAUUGGCUAGCUAAAUGGAAGGCGGGACCCAUACAACAUAAUGUUUACAUCCCCAGAUUGCUAGUAUUGUAACAUGGUGCAAUCCCAGCAAGGUGCUUCUUCUCAGGUGGAGAUGGAAGAUCACUAGAAAGGAGCAUGCUGACAGACCAGUAAGAAAGUUGUUGUUGCACAACAAAGGUAUUAUAGUCAAUGCAAUAUUGUGUAAAUUGCCCAUUUAUAAAAUGUAUCUCAAACAAAACGGUUGGAUUGUUCAGCAACAAGAGAAGUAAACGCUAACAUGGCUUUGGUGAUGAAAGUACAACACCACCCAGGAGAGGCCUGCUUGGAAACCUGGGAUGGAUCCAGGAACAUUCCUCAAGGACCUUUACAUUUUCUUUUUGGACUUGUCCAGUUGGGACAUUUAGCCAUUGUUAAACAAAGAUUGUGAAACACCCUUCUAUCUGUGUUUUGCAAGGUCUACAUAUCUUGUAAUCACUCAUUCAUACAAACUGAUACAAAUUCAAGGUCUGACAUUCACUUGUCUAUUUCCCAUUGUUCAAUCUUUGACCCAUGUCGACUCCCCACAGUUGUGUCCAGCUGGCUGGAUGUCCUUUGGGUGGUGGACCAUUCUUGAAACACACAGGAAACUGAGCGUGAAAAACCCAGCAGCGGCGCAGUUCCUGACACAUUAAAACUGGUGCACCUGCCACCUACUACCAUACCCUGUUUAAAGGCACUUGAAUAUUUUUUUGUAUUGCCCAUUUACCCUCUGAAUGGUACACAUACACAAUCCAUGUCUCAAUUGUCUCAAGGCUUACAAAUUCUUCUUUAACUGGUAUCCCCUUAAGCUACACUUGAUUGAUGUCGGAUCAUAAAGCAUCAUAGCAUUCACCUGAUCAGUUUGUCAUGGAAAGAGCAGGUGCUCCUAAUGUUUUGUACAUUCAGUAUAUUUUAGUUGACACAUGAUGUGUCUGAUAUACAUGGGAAAAAAAUAUACUGCUCAAAAAAAUAAAGGGAACACUUAAACAACACAUCCUAGAUCUGAAUGAAAGAAAUA